UCAGAAUCAACGCUGGCGGCGCGCUUAACACAUGCAAGUCGAACGAGAAAGCCGGCUUCGGCUGGUGAGUAAAGUGGCGGACGGGUGAGUAACACGUGGAUAACCUGCCCUUUAGUGGGGAAUAACUCUGGGAAACCGGAGCUAAUACCGCAUAAGAUCCUUGGACCUUAAGAUUCGAGGAUGAAAGCCUUUGGGCGCUGAAGGAGGGGUCCGCGGCCGAUUAGCUAGUUGGUAGGGUAAUGGCCUACCAAGGCAUCGAUCGGUAGCCGGCCUGAGAGGGCACACGGCCACACUGGCACUGAGACACGGGCCAGACUCCUACGGGAGGCAGCAGUGGGGAAUCUUGGACAAUGGGGGAAACCCUGAUCCAGCGACGCCGCGUGACUGAUGAAGCCUUUCGGGGUGUAAAGGUCUUUCAGUGGGGACAAUUAUGAUGGUACCCACAGAAGCAGCUGCGGCUAACUACGUGCCAGCAGCCGCGGUAAUACGUAGGCAGCAAGCGUUGUUCGGAAUUACUGGGCGUAAAGCGAGUGUAGGCGGUUUGCCGUGUCUGCUGUGAAAUCUCCCGGCUCAACUGGGAGGGUGCGGCGGAAACUGGCAGGCUAGAGUGCGGAAGAGGAAAGUGGAAUUCCUGGUGUAGCGGUGAAAUGCGUAGAUAUCAGGAGGAACACCUGUGGUGAAGACGGCUUUCUGGACCGCCACUGACGCUGAGACUCGAAAGCGUGGGGAGCAAACAGGAUUAGAUACCCUGGUAGUCCACGCCCUAAACGAUGCAUACUUGGUGUGGGUUCUUCACUGGA
This 800-nucleotide ribosomal RNA is filed under the name uncultured bacterium. RNAcentral's name for it is "bacterial SSU rRNA". It matches the Rfam family "Bacterial small subunit ribosomal RNA", at positions 24 to 838 of the family's 1533-position model. The record is from RNAcentral.